UCGGGAAUUUUGGACAAUGGGCGCAAGCCUGAUCCAGCCAUGCCGCGUGCGGGAAGAAGGCCUUCGGGUUGUAAAGCUCUUUUACCAGGGACGAUAAUGACGGUACCUGGAGAAUAAGCCCCGGCAAACUUCGUGCCAGCAGCCGCGGUAAUACGAAGGGGGCUAGCGUUGUUCGGAAUUACUGGGCGUAAAGCGCACGUAGGCGGAUUGUUAAGUCAGAGGUGAAAUCCCGGAGCUCAACUUCGGAACUGCCUUUGAUACUGGCAAUCUAGAGUCCGGAAGAGGUUAGUGGAAUUCCCAGUGUAGAGGUGAAAUUCGUAGAUAUUCGCAGGAACACCAGUGGCGAAGGCGACUUGCUGGACUUAUGGUGACGCUGAGACGCGAAAGCGUGGGGAGCAAACAGGAUUAGAUACCCAUGUAGUCCCUGAGCGGGCUGGCAAGGCGCAU
Molecule: ribosomal RNA, 447 nt
Filed under: uncultured bacterium
Lineage: Bacteria
Description: bacterial SSU rRNA
Rfam family: Bacterial small subunit ribosomal RNA
Source: RNAcentral